RNAcentral lists this ribosomal RNA (778 nucleotides) under uncultured Neocallimastigales. RNAcentral describes it as "partial large subunit ribosomal RNA". It matches the Rfam family "Eukaryotic large subunit ribosomal RNA", at positions 18 to 634 of the family's 3401-position model. The record is from RNAcentral. Lineage: Eukaryota; Fungi; Neocallimastigomycota; Neocallimastigomycetes; Neocallimastigales.
UCAGACGAUGCGUCAUGCAUAUCAAUAAGCGGAGGAAAAGAAACUAACUAGGAUUCCCUUCAGUAACGGCGAGUGAAGCGGGAAGAGCUCAAAUUUGAAAUCUUCAAGGUUUUACCUUGACGAAUUGUAGUUUAAAGAAGUGUUUUCUGUUGAAGUUUUGGUAAAAGUUCUUUGGAAUAGGACAUCAUAGAGGGUGAGAAUCCCGUAUUUGACCAUAUCUUUCUAGCUGUGUGAUACACUUUCAAAGAGUCGGAUUGUUUGGGAAUGCAGUCCAAAAUGGGUGGUAAAUUUCAUCUAAAGCUAAAUACUGGCGAGAGACCGAUAGCGAACAAGUACCGUGAGGGAAAGAUGAAAAGAACUUUGAAAAGAGAGUUAAACAGUACGUGAAAUUGUCAAAAGGGAAGCGUUUGACACCAGUGUUGUUUUCUCGAAAAUCAAUUAAAAAGAGUCGGAUUUUGUGUUGUAUUGACCUUUAAUCAGCUUGCUUCACUUUUUCUUGUCUUUUUUUAAUGCACUUUUCGUUUAACAAGUCAACAUCAGUUUCUUUUGUUGUAAAAGGGUCAUUGGAAGGUGGCUUUCUCUUCGGAGAAAGUGUUUAUAGCCUUUGGCCUCUGCAAUCGGAGAGAUUGAGGUCUGCAGCGUAGAUCCUUCGGGGUUAGAUACAUUUGUGCUAAGUUAUAGCCUUUCAUAGACAACUUGUUGACUAUGAUCAGUCAUGUAACUUACUCGCUUAUGCUAUUUUACCUACGCUUAGGAUGUUGAUAUGCAUGACUGAUAU